AGGUAAAUCUUCUAGGAUGGCCUUCAGAGUGUGGCACAGUAAACACCAGAAAGGAAUGUCCCGGGGACCAUUAAGUAAGGUGUCCAGUUUGAAGAAAUUGCCGGGAGCGGCAAAAUUGUUGAAGAAAAGUGGCUCCAAGUGGGCUCAGAAACCAGUGUACACUCUCCAAGAAACAAGGACCCCUGGACAGCACUCCAGACAAAAAGUCGAACUCAGAAAAAAGGAGACUGGAGUGAAGAGGUACAGUUUACGGGAAAGAAAGGACCAUGUGUACCAAGAGGUCAGCGAGCCUGAGGA
Molecule: long non-coding RNA, 297 nt
Organism: Cervus elaphus (red deer)
Lineage: Eukaryota; Metazoa; Chordata; Mammalia; Artiodactyla; Cervidae
Exons: 3
Source: RefSeq, a predicted model, not a curated record